AUUGAACGCUGGCGGCAUGCUUUACACAUGCAAGUCGGACGGCAGCACAGAGAAGCUUGCUUCUUGGGUGGCGAGUGGCGAACGGGUGAGUAAUAUAUCGGAACGUACCGAGUAAUGGGGGAUAACUAAUCGAAAGAUUAGCUAAUACCGCAUAUUCUCUGAGGAGGAAAGCAGGGGACCUUCGGGCCUUGCGUUAUUCGAGCGGUCGAUAUCUGAUUAGCUAGUUGGUGGGGUAAAGGCCUACCAAGGCGACGAUCAGUAGCGGGUCUGAGAGGAUGAUCCGCCACACUGGGACUGAGACACGGCCCAGACUCCUACGGGAGGCAGCAGUGGGGAAUUUUGGACAAUGGGCGCAAGCCUGAUCCAGCCAUGCCGCGUGUCUGAAGAAGGCCUUCGGGUUGUAAAGGACUUUUGUCAGGGAAGAAAAGGCUGUUGCUAAUACCGACAGCUGAUGACGGUACCUGAAGAAUAAGCACCGGCUAACUACGUG
RNAcentral lists this ribosomal RNA (490 nucleotides) under uncultured bacterium. RNAcentral describes it as "partial 16S ribosomal RNA". It matches the Rfam family "Bacterial small subunit ribosomal RNA", at positions 30 to 507 of the family's 1533-position model. The record is from RNAcentral.